UUACCAUAAUCCAGAUGGUAUAAUUCUAUAUUUUCAACUUGUUACAUCUAGAACAUCUGCCUUUCCUCAUAUCUAUUGUAUGCUGCCAAUGUUACACUUUAUAGCUUCGAAAAAAACAUGUUUUCAAUUUUUCACAAGCCUGUCUCCUCAACUUCUGUUUGCUUUAUUCAACAAAUCCAUUCCCAUCAAACAAUUUCACCAGCCGAGAAGGGACCGAAGUUAAGAUUUCCUUUAGGUUUUUUUUUUCAUUCUUAUCAUUUGGUAUAUACUUUUCUCCUAAAUUUUUUGUUACGUAUGAAUUCAAAAUGUAAAGUAAUCACGUUAACGAUAUGUUUUUAAAGGAAAGCGAGUAUGAAUUAUUAAAAAGAUCCAGAAUUUUUUUCCACCAUCCACGAAAAGAAACAUCACUGAAAAUUGAUGUAGUAAUUUAUUGAUUUUUUUUCGUAAAACGCACAAAAAAUAUUAGUACCAAUUUAUUAAAGUUGAAUUAAAAAAAAAAUUUU
RNAcentral lists this long non-coding RNA (503 nucleotides) under Androctonus crassicauda. Lineage: Eukaryota; Metazoa; Arthropoda; Arachnida; Scorpiones; Buthidae. The record is from RNAcentral.